UCCCUUAGAUGUUCUGGGCCGCACGCGCGCUACACUGACGAAUGCAACGAGCUUAUAACCUUGGCCGAAAGGUCUGGGUAAUCUCCAAAUUUCGUCGUGAUGGGGAUAGAUUAUUGCAAUUAUUAAUCUUCAACGAGGAAUGCCUAGUAAGCGCAAGUCAUCAGCUUGCGUUGAUUACGUCCCUGCCCUUUGUACACACCGCCCGUCGCUACUACUGAUUGAAUUGGUUUUUGAAGAAUAAGGAUUGGCCGACUGAGCGGGUGCUUGCAUCAGCAUAAGUAUGGUCGAGAAUCAUUCUGAAAAAACCGUUCGAGAGGAAGUAAAAGUCGUANCA
RNAcentral lists this ribosomal RNA (334 nucleotides) under uncultured eukaryote. Its description in RNAcentral is "partial 18S ribosomal RNA". It matches the Rfam family "Eukaryotic small subunit ribosomal RNA", at positions 1469 to 1796 of the family's 1831-position model. The record is from RNAcentral.